Molecule: ribosomal RNA, 233 nt
Filed under: uncultured bacterium
Lineage: Bacteria
Description: partial 16S ribosomal RNA
Rfam family: Bacterial small subunit ribosomal RNA
Source: RNAcentral
UGAGCAAUCUGCCCUUCUCAUCGGAAUAAGCGUUGGAAACGACGUCUAAUGCCGAAUACGACCUCCUUUCGCAUGAUCGGAGGUGGAAAGCUCCGGCGGAGAAGGAUGAGCUCGCGGCCUAUCAGCUAGUUGGUGUGGGUAAUGGCCCACCAAGGCGACGACGGGUAGCCGGCCUGAAAGGGUGACCGGCCACACUGGGACUGAGACACGGCCCAGACUCCUACGGGAGGNAG